UACGUAGGGGGCAAGCGUUGUCCGGAUUUAUUGGGCGUAAAGAGCGUGUAGGCGGCUAGGUAGGUCCGUUGUGAAAACUCGAGGCUUAACCUCGAGACGUCGAUGGAAACCAUCUAGCUAGAGUCCGGAAGAGGAGAGUGGAAUUCCUGGUGUAGCGGUGAAAUGCGCAGAUAUCAGGAAGAACACCCGUGGCUAAGGCGGCUCUCUAGUACGGUACUGACGCUGAGACGCGAAAGCGUGGGGAGCGAACAGG
Molecule: ribosomal RNA, 253 nt
Filed under: uncultured bacterium
Lineage: Bacteria
Description: partial 16S ribosomal RNA
Rfam family: Bacterial small subunit ribosomal RNA
Source: RNAcentral